Molecule: ribosomal RNA, 492 nt
Filed under: uncultured bacterium
Lineage: Bacteria
Description: partial 16S ribosomal RNA
Rfam family: Bacterial small subunit ribosomal RNA
Source: RNAcentral
AGUGAACGCUGGCGGUAGGCCUAACACAUGCAAGUCGAACGGCAGCACAGUAAGAGCUUGCUCUUACGGGUGGCGAGUGGCGGACGGGUGAGGAAUACAUCGGAAUCUACUUUUUCGUGGGGGAUAACGUAGGGAAACUUACGCUAAUAUCGCAUACGACCUACGGGUGAAAGCAGGGGAUCUUCGGACCUUGCGCGAUUGAAUGAGCCGAUGUCGGAUUAGCUAGUUGGCGGGGUAAAGGCCCACCAAGGCGACGAUCCGUAGCUGGUCUGAGAGGAUGAUCAGCCACACUGGAACUGAGACACGGUCCAGACUCCUACGGGAGGCAGCAGUGGGGAAUAUUGGACAAUGGGCGCAAGCCUGAUCCAGCCAUACCGCGUGGGUGAAGAAGGCCUUCGGGUUGUAAAGCCCUUUUGUAGGGAAAGAAAAGCAGCAGGUUAAUACCCCGCUGUUCUGACGGUACCCAAAGAAUAAGCACCGGCUAACUUCGUG